Small nucleolar RNA from Cephalotus follicularis, 106 nucleotides. It matches the Rfam family "Plant small nucleolar RNA R71". Rfam says of the family: R71 is a member of the C/D box family of snoRNAs containing the C (UGAUGA) and D (CUGA) box motifs. Multiple nearly identical copies of this snoRNA have been identified in Arabidopsis, and it is thought to function as a 2'-O-ribose methylation guide for 18S ribosomal RNA. The record is from Rfam. NCBI's taxonomy places the organism in Eukaryota, Viridiplantae, Streptophyta, Magnoliopsida, Oxalidales, Cephalotaceae.
ACGGCAUGAUGGGGACAUUUUUUGAUGAGAACCUUCAAUCGUUCCCAUGAUUCAUGAAACUGCUCACCAUCUUGUUGAGAGAAGCUAGUGAGAGCUCGUCUUAUCU